GUUAAAAAGCUCGUAGUUGGAUUUCUGGUGUGUGAGUAUUGCGUCCUUGAAUGUGUACCGAUGUUCGCCGCCAUCUUGGGGAAUAACUUUGUAAGGAUGUUAAUUCGUUUUUAUGAGUGCCCCUCCUUAACUGUGAAAAAAUUAGAGUGUUCAAAGCAGACAAAAUGUCGUGAAUACAUUAGCAUGGAAUUAUACCAAAAGGUAGGAAUUUGUGAGUCUCACCACUCCUGUUCCCACAAUGAUCAACAGGAUCAAACGAGGGUAGAAGUACUCAAUUGUCAGAGGUGAAAUUCUUGGAUUUUUUGACGACUCCCUAAAGCGAAAGCAUCUACCAAGCAUGUUUCCAUUAAUCAAGAACGAAAGUUAGGGGAUCGAAGAGGAUUAGAUACCCUCGUAGUCUUAACCAUAAACUAUGCCGACUAGGGGUGAGUGGAGUGCCAAACAAUUUUUUGAAUUGGAAGGCCUUUAUUCGAACCUUUCGAGAAAUCAAAGUCUUUGGGUUCCGGGGGGAGUAUGGUCGCAAGGCUGAAACUUAAAGGAAUUGACGGAAGGGCACCACCAGGAGUGGAGCCUGCGGCUUAAUUUGACUCAACACGGGGAAACUCACCAGGUCCGGACAUAGGUAGGAUUGACAGAUUGACAGCUCUUUCUUGAUUCUGUGGGUGGUGGUGCAUGGCCGUUCUUAGUUGGUGGAGUGAUUUGUCUGGUUGAUUCCGUUAACGAACGAGAUGUUUGGUGUGUGUUACAAAUGGUUAGAAUUUUUUUAAUGGUUUGUUCCUCAUGCGACAAUGUGGGUUUACCACAUGGAAGUUAAACGCAAUAACAGGUCUGUGAUGCCCUUAGAUGUUCUGGGCCGCACGCGCGCUACACUGGUUGGGACAAUGGGUAUACAACCUUGCUUGAGAAAGUUGGGUAAUCCUUUGAAUCCCAAUCGUGAUGGGGAUAGUCCUUUGUAAUUUUCGGACUUGAACGAGGAAUUCCUAGUAAACGCCAGUCAUCAGCUGGCAUUGAUUACGUCCCUGCCCUUUGUACACACCGCCCGUCGCACCUACCGAUUGAAUGGAUCGGUGAAAUGUUUGGAUAGAUUGGGAUGGGUGUAAAAGCUUGCCUGAUUUAGAAGUUCAUUAAACCUCUCCAUUUAGAGUAAGGUGAAGUCGUAACAAGGUUCCG
Molecule: ribosomal RNA, 1170 nt
Filed under: uncultured marine eukaryote
Lineage: Eukaryota
Description: bacterial SSU rRNA
Rfam family: Eukaryotic small subunit ribosomal RNA
Source: RNAcentral